Molecule: ribosomal RNA, 346 nt
Filed under: Citrobacter amalonaticus
Lineage: Bacteria; Pseudomonadati; Pseudomonadota; Gammaproteobacteria; Enterobacterales; Enterobacteriaceae
Description: bacterial SSU rRNA
Rfam family: Bacterial small subunit ribosomal RNA
Source: RNAcentral
ACAGGUGCUGCAUGGCUGUCGUCAGCUCGUGUUGUGAAAUGUUGGGUUAAGUCCCGCAACGAGCGCAACCCUUAUUUUUUGUUGCCAGCAUUUCGGACGGGAACUCUAAGGAGACUGCCAGGGAUAAACUGGAGGAAGGUGGGGAUGACGUCAAAUCAUCAUGCCCCUUACGACCAGGGCUACACACGUGCUACAAUGGCGUAAACAAAGAGAAGCGACCUCGCGAGAGCAAGCGAACCUCAUAAAUUACGUCUCAGUCCGGAUUGGAGUCUGCAACUCGACUCCAUGAAGUCGGAAUCGCUAGUAAUCGUGAAUCAGAAUGCCACGGUGAAUACGUUCCCGGGUC